AAUUUCCUAUGUUUGCUACUCCCAUGUUGACACGUUGCUUACUACAAUUAACUUUAAUUUUUAUUUUAUUCAUAUAUACGGGCAGGGUCGUGUCUGUAUACAGGAAUAAUUGUUCUUUUGUUAAAAAUGUCUUAUUUUCUGUUUAUGCAAUGUCUAAAUUAGAAAACAUACAUACGCGUACCAUACCAGUCGGAUGUGUAUCCGCAAGUAUUCAGAUACUAGAUUUAACAAUUUCUUUGUUAAACUGAAAAACUAGAGAUUGCGAUUGAGAGAGAAAGCGAAUGACGCAACCGAGUUCAAUAACAGACAGACCAAUUACGGAUAACGAUAAUUAAUAUGCGUCCCAACUACGUGAGUUCUCUGUCAUCGAGAUAUCGUGGCAACUAGUUAAUUAAAGCGGACACUGAGCGAUUCAUCUGUUAACGAUCAAAUUACCGUCACUAUUAAUGGAAAGUGAAACGAAAGCUUCAGACUGCAGGAUAUUCAUUCGAAUCGUCACGAGCCGCUGCAUAUUGGAGUAGACACUUAGGCAAAACGAGAUGCGGCACGCGUCACUGCAGCACCCAACAGCACCCUAUUCCUCUCCAGAGUGCGUGUCUGUAUGCGGUGACCCGCGGGAAUAACUAGUAAUGAGAGCUGCGCGAAGUCGCAAUACGUCAUGGUAGGAAUCGAGCGGAUCUCCAUUUAUUUAGACGCAUCCAUAUGGUAACCGACGAACCGUUUCACCCGCGAAACGAAUUUUACGUAUAGAACAUGGAUCGAAUCUCGUCUCGAUUUCACGAGUCAAACGUUUAUGCUAAUGCACUGCGAUUGCGGUUUAUGCUAAUCUUACGACCCUCUGCAGGGGCUUAUUCUUUAUCGCAUAAUAGAUUUCUUUUCCAGAUAUCGUAAUUUAUUUAACCCGUUGUUCAUAAAACAUAUCACGAAACAUAUAACCGAAUGAGAUGUAAGAAUAAACUAAAAUUUCUGGUAUUUUAAUAUAAUAAUAUGAAUAACCAAAAAGUUUCUUAUAUUAAAUUUCAAUACUUUAAGAUUAUCUACAUACGUACAAAUAAAAUUCUGAUAGUAAAUUCUGAAAUUCUUAUAGUUUAUGUCCAGUUUUAAGUUUGGGACAAAUUGAUGAGUCCAUUGAAACUCUUCAUGGUGUAUUACAUAUUUCCGAUUAUAUAAUUUAUAAUCAUCUUUCAUAUGAGAUAAUGUCUGAUAGUUACUAAUUUGGAAUAUUUGCCAGAUUAUGUUAAAAACGGUAAGACAUUAAGAACGGUAUAUUUCGAUUAAACGUGUCCUUCGAGUCCAGUGCAUAACGUAUUUUCUCAUGUCAGUCGGACGUAUCAGUAUCGCGUGUUGAAUAAAAGGGAGCCUCUAUCCUCAGUGCAUUGUUGCUGGAAAGUCGAUCGACGCAAGACGUUCGAAGCGCACGAAAUAACGAUCGCUUUGUCAGGAAAGUUGAGCGAAAUUAUUAUCACCGUGUACAAUGUACCUCGAGUAUAAAAGCAUCGGUUAACAUCGAAUUGGGUCAAGUGCUAGCAUACAAUUAACGAUAACCUUGAUAUCAAGCAUCGUGCAAGAUUUAUCGUUCUUAUUUUACGUCCGAAGCAUCUGAGCAUUCCUCGAUAUUCGUAUUUCUUUGUUUCGCGGACGUUGAUUUCAUCUGCUGUCCCUUUUCCCUCCCUGCGAAGGUUACUAUCGAUUAUCCGGUACAUGAGACUUACAUUGAUUUUCGUGAAAAAUCGACUUCGUUACACCCACGAAAACUGAACUAAACGCCGCUUCGUUACCAAUGACGUUUGUACUAAAUGUUUUCCAGUGAUGGAAAAUUGCGCUACAGAGUUAAACAACACAGGAGAAGGUUGAAUUGAAUUUGUAAUUAUUUAGUAGGCAUCGUGAAUAUUCUAACACGAUAUGAACGAUUUCUCACGUUGAUAAGCUGGAAGUGCACGACUGAUAAAUGAACCCUCGCGAGAAGGGUGUCGCUUAUCUUACCACUAAAAAAAUCGUUCGCUAACGAGCCCAUCCAAAAUGCUCGCAUGAUUCGCUUUCUUUUUGUCAUCAUCAGCUACACACAAAAAGGGAUGAUUAGCGUUACGUAGGUUGAGUCUCCUAAAUUUGGUUCUCUAUACAUGUACAAUUCUACUAAAAUAUUUACAGUUUCUAAAAUCUAAUAUUGAUUUCUUGUAAAUAUCUCUUUCCAUCUACCACUCUCGUUCUAUUUGCAACGAAGCAAUUUGGAUAAAAUUUGCAGAUCGCGACUGAUUCGAUGGUUCACGAAAAUUUGCGAGCGUGCACGCACGCACGCUGUUGACUCGUGCUAAUAAGGCGUGGCAUCGAACCCCAUUCACGUGUGUGUGUUUAUUCUACGGAACGAGUGCGUGUACAGCAGUAGAAGCAAAUAUACGAAGAGCUGGUCGCGGCUUUCGCUGUCAAAGAGCCUCUUUAGCGAUCAUCGCUACCCUAUCCUACGACCCCAAAUCUACUAGCUCUCGCCAACUACUCAUCGGUUCCCCCGUACGAAUUCAUCUCUCACUCGGUUCUCAAUUCUGACGCUGCAUGACAUGACUGCGUAAAACGAUCAGAAUUAUUUUUAGUCGUUACGUUAUCAUCCACUCGUUCAACCUACUUUCCCUAUAUAAUAAACUGGCUAAAAUCCUUUUUAUAGCCAGGUUCUUCCACCGUUCCCUAGUUCACCCACCAUGCGGCACUAAUGCGCACUCGUACGCCAGGUUACAUGGUUCUUUCUUUUAUUCACUCUACAGAAAUUAGAACGCCGCAUACGGGUUAAUUAUAAAAAGGGAACUGGCCGCGAAUCGAUAGCGGGUCCUAUCAAGGGAGUCGCCUCUUAUCGAGGCGCCGCUAAAAAUGUGUGCAGCAAUGCAGCCUGCAUGGGGUGUGAUUCGUGGGUCACGUGCGUGCUACCCCGCGGGACCCCAUCCCCUCAGCCACUGUGCAAGUAUGCGAGCGGUACCUAGGGACGUUCACCCUUCGGUUUUAAUUGCAAGGGGAAUCGACCACCUCUUUCUUCUGUUGCCGGAAGGAGAAGUUCUGGAGGGAAAAGGAUUACCUAAAAGCAUUGCGUCUUUCUCAAUUCAUAACGAUAUUCACCCCGUUGCGAUAAUUUUUAGAGGAAAUCUGAGUAAUCAAGUUAUGCGACUUCCAAGGAUGGAAGAUAUGUUUUCAUGUGAAAUAAACUGCAGAUUUUUGUUCAAAAUUAAACUUUGGUAUCAUUUGGAAUAACGAAUUUUAUAUGAACAUUUGUUUUAGCAUUUAAAUAUUGAAAUAUGGCAUUCAUCUUUUGAUAUUUUGAAUAGUUUUACGAAACAAAAAUUUGUUUAUAGAAUGACUUGAUUGAGUCAUUGAAGUUCAUAGCAUGCAUCAAACAUGAAACAUUUUGGGAUAUGGAUAACAAAAUUACAUUAUAAGAUAAAGUUUCACGUAAUUAUUACUGGUAUAUCGCGAUGGAUUAUAGCUGUAUCAGCUUAUUGUAAGUCUCGAUACGAGUUACGUAAAACUUUGAUCGAUUCCAUGCCACGAAACCGAAUCAACCACUAUUAUUAAAUUCUUUUUUCAUCCCCUCUGGGAUUUAGUUUCAAAGUAUGCUACCAUACAAGCAUACCUCGUGCAAAAGCGUAAGAGGAAAUGAGCUUCUCCUGAGAAUCUCAAUUGUCGGCUCUUGCCGAAGAAAAGUUUAGAGGCCGACCGUUUCGGUGAGAUCGCUGUAUAAUUGGAGUCGCGGCGACUUUGACGCAGCAAGUGGGGCAAUCGGGUGCUCUGAAUAAUUUCCCGUCGUGUGCUUUUCCGCCACUUCUCCUUGCGGCUGCCACUUAAUUCCACGUAAAACGGCGCGCGUGACAACGACGGGUCAUCGAAGCGGCCGUAAUGGCGAGAGCACUUUCUCGGAAAUUGCGUUCCUCGUAACGAAACAGGGCGGAAAAAUGCAAAAAAGAUGUGUUAAAACGGCAAGAAAUAAUAAAAAACAAUGCGUUGUGUUACGCAAAAGUAAUUUGUACUUUCGGUAGUUGCCGGUUCUUUGAAUUUGCGCACAUUAUAACUACAAUCCUUCACAUGAAAAUUUGUUAAAUGUAAUCCUAAACACGUUGAAACGUUUCUAUGGACAUCUAUUUACAUUCCUGACAGAUAUUUAUAUUAGAUAAUAUAAGAGACGGAAAAACGUGAAAAGGAUCGAGGAAAAUAAUAAAACUGAUUACCUUCAA
Ceratina calcarata is the source of this 4208-nucleotide long non-coding RNA. RefSeq lists it as uncharacterized. NCBI's taxonomy places the organism in Eukaryota, Metazoa, Arthropoda, Insecta, Hymenoptera, Apidae. The record is from RefSeq and is a predicted model, not a curated record. The transcript is spliced from 2 exons.